AGGGUCCGAGUUGUAAUUUGCAGAGGAUGCUUCGGGUUCGGUUCCGGUCUAAGUUCCUUGGAACAGGACGUCAUAGAGGGUGAGAAUCCCGUAUGUGACCGGCCGCCACGCCCGUGUGAAGCUCCUUCGACGAGUCGAGUUGUUUGGGAAUGCAGCUCAAAAUGGGUGGUAAAUUUCAUCUAAAGCUAAAUAUUGGCCAGAGACCGAUAGCGCACAAGUAGAGUGAUCGAAAGAUGAAAAGCACUUUGGAAAGAGAGUCAAACAGUACGUGAAAUUGUUGAAAGGGAAGCGCUUGCAACCAGACUUGCCCGCGGGUGAUCAGCCGGUAUUCUUACCGGUGCACUCGCCCGCGGUCAGGCCAGCAUCGGUUCGGACGGCUGGAUAAAGUCCACUGGAAUGUAGCUCCUCUCGGGGAGUGUUAUAGCCGGAGGUGCCAUGCAGCCCGCCCGGACCGAGGACCGCGCUUCGGCUAGGAUGCUGGCGUAAUGGUUGUAAGCGACCCGUCUUGAAACACGGACCAAGGAGUCUAACAUCUAUGCGAGUGUUUGGGUGUCAAACCCAUGCGCGUAAUGAAAGUGAACGGAGGUGGGAACCCUCAAGGGUGCACCAUCGACCGAUCCUGAUGUCUUCGGAUGGAUUUGAGUAAGAGCAUAGCUGUUGGGACCCGAAAGAUGGUGAACUAUGCCUGAAUAGGGUGAAGCCAGAGGAAACUCUGGUGGAGGCUCGCAGCGGUUCUGACGUGCAAAUCGAUCGUCAAAUUUGGG
RNAcentral lists this ribosomal RNA (764 nucleotides) under Acarospora fuscata. Its description in RNAcentral is "partial large subunit ribosomal RNA". It matches the Rfam family "Eukaryotic large subunit ribosomal RNA", at positions 133 to 915 of the family's 3401-position model. Lineage: Eukaryota; Fungi; Ascomycota; Lecanoromycetes; Acarosporales; Acarosporaceae. The record is from RNAcentral.